This 681-nucleotide long non-coding RNA is filed under the name Trifolium pratense (red clover). RNAcentral describes it as "long non-coding RNA (TPRA_LNC006162)". Lineage: Eukaryota; Viridiplantae; Streptophyta; Magnoliopsida; Fabales; Fabaceae. The record is from RNAcentral.
AAAAAAAAAAUCAUUCAAGCUUAGAUUAUGAAAUUGGAGUAGGAAAAAUAAAGAUUAAAUAAAAGAAUAGAGAAGAUGAAAGAAGAAGGAAGUGAUAUGAGUGAUAUAUAAAUAUGUUUAAUUUGAUAUUUGAAAUUUGAAUAUUAUAAUUUGCCUCCAAAUUCAUUGUAAUAAAGGUGACAACUUUUGACAACAUGAGCAUUUGUUUUCACAUGUAUUUGUUUUCAAGAGCAACCAAGUGGCCCAUGGCUCAGUUUGCUUUUAGACGUCAUAUUUGACCUCAUCUGGCAGUUUCUUAAAUAAGAACAAUUUUGACUUUACCUUGAACUGCACAUUUCUUAUAUUUAUUAGAUUGAAGAAUGGAGUUUGAGUCCCUCACAAGUAUAGUGGUGAUAGUAGUAGUAAGUUAGAUCUAUGGUUUUGAAUUUUGAGAGACUUUAAAAGAAAUUACAUGACUUGUGGUGAGAUAGAGAAAAAGAGAGGAGAAAAUUCGCGGUUUGAUUCGGGGUACAUGAAUUGGUUCAAGUAGGGUCUUGAUCUCUUUAAGCAUGCGGUCAGGAGUUAGAUUUCUCGCUCAUAAGUAUUAUUUUAUUUUAUUUUUGCUUCCAACAUAUUUGUUGACGGGUUUUAAGCCCCAAUAAAUUAUUGAGGGCCUAAAACCCCCAAUAAAUUAUGCAACCA